RNAcentral lists this non-coding RNA (28 nucleotides) under Mus musculus (house mouse). Lineage: Eukaryota; Metazoa; Chordata; Mammalia; Rodentia; Muridae. The record is from RNAcentral.
UAGAAAUGCUAAGCCUGCUUGCCCUAAC